AUUGAACGCUGGCGGCAGGCCUAACACAUGCAAGUCGAGCGGAUGAAGGGUGCUUGCUCCUGGAUUCAGCGGCGGACGGGUGAGUAAUGCCUAGGAAUCUGCCUGGUUGUGGGGGAUAACGCCCGGAAACGGGCGCUAAUACCGCAUACGUCCUGAGGGAGAAAGUGGGGGAUCUUCGGACCUCACGCUCUCAGAUGAUCCUAGGUCGGAUUAGCUAGUUGGUGGGGUAAAGGCCUACCAAGGCGACGAUCCGUAACUGGUCUGAGAGGAUGAUCAGUCACACUGGAACUGAGACACGGUCCAGACUCCUACGGGAGGCAGCAGUGGGGAAUAUUGGACAAUGGGCGAAAGCCUGAUCCAGCCAUGCCGCGUGUGUGAAGAAGGUCUUCGGAUUGUAAAGCACUUUUAGUUGGGAGGAAGAGCAGUAAGUUAAUACCUUGCUGUUUUGACGUUACCAACAGAAUAAGCACCGGCUAACUUCGUG
RNAcentral lists this ribosomal RNA (484 nucleotides) under uncultured bacterium. RNAcentral describes it as "partial 16S ribosomal RNA". It matches the Rfam family "Bacterial small subunit ribosomal RNA", at positions 30 to 507 of the family's 1533-position model. The record is from RNAcentral.